Molecule: ribosomal RNA, 427 nt
Filed under: uncultured bacterium
Lineage: Bacteria
Description: partial 16S ribosomal RNA
Rfam family: Bacterial small subunit ribosomal RNA
Source: RNAcentral
UGGGGAAUAUUGGACAAUGGGCGAAAGCCUGAUCCAGCCACGCCGCGUGUGUGAAGAAGGUCUUCGGAUUGUAAAGCACUUUAAGUUGGGAGGAAGGGCAUUAACCUAAUACGUUAGUGUUUUGACGUUACCGACAGAAUAAGCACCGGCUAACUCUGUGCCAGCAGCCGCGGUAAUACAGAGGGUGCAAGCGUUAAUCGGAAUUACUGGGCGUAAAGCGCGCGUAGGUGGUUUGUUAAGUUGGAUGUGAAAUCCCCGGGAUCAACCUGGGAACUGCAUUCAAAACUGACUGACUAGAGUAUGGUAGAGGGUGGUGGAAUUUCCUGUGUAGCGGUGAAAUGCGUAGAUAUAGGAAGGAACACCAGUGGCGAAGGCGACCACCUGGACUAAUACUGACACUGAGGUGCGAAAGCGUGGGGAGCAAACA